RNAcentral lists this long non-coding RNA (840 nucleotides) under Apteryx haastii (Great spotted kiwi). RNAcentral's name for it is "lncRNA (ENSAHAG00000009067.1)". The record is from RNAcentral. Lineage: Eukaryota; Metazoa; Chordata; Aves; Apterygiformes; Apterygidae.
CCUGGGGUUUGGGUUGCAAUUCCCCCAUUUGGGGGUUGCAAUUCCCUGGUUUGGGGGUUGCAAUCCCCUGGGGUUUGGGUUGCAAUUCCCAGGUUUUGGGUUGCAAUUCCCAGGUUUGGGGGUUGCGAUCCCUUGGGGUUUGGGUUGCAAUUCCCAGGUUUUGGGUUGCAAUUCCCAGGUUUGGGGGUUGCAAUUCCCCAGUUUCUGGGUUGCAAUUCCCAGGUUUUGGGUUGCAAUUCCCUGGGUUUGGGGGUUGCAAUUCCCCAGUUUCCGGGUUGCAAUUCCCCCAUUCGGGGGUUGCGAUUCCCUGUUUUUUUGGGUUGCAACCCCCCGGUUUUGGGUGCAAUCCCCCCGUCACCCCCGUCACCCCCGUGUCCGUCCGUCCCCCCAGUGCGGCUUCUUCAAGCGGGACUACAGGGAGCGGCUGGACCAGGACGCGGCCGGCGCCGGGACGGGGGACGACGGGGACAACGGGGACGACGAUAACGGGGACGAUGAUAACGGGGGCGAUAACGGGGACAAUGAUGGGGACACUGGGGACGCCCCCGCGGGGGACACGGACGGGGACCUCGGCCGUGGGGGGCAGGAGCCGCUGCAGGGGGGCGAAGGAGCCCCGUGAGCCGGCGACCGCCCGGCCUUCAUCCUCCAUCUCCAUCCUCCUCCAUCCCCAUCCUCCAUCUCUCCAUCUCCAUCUCCCCAGCCUUCAUCCUCCAUCUCCAUCCUCUAUCUCCAUCAUCUCCAUCCUCCAUCCCUCCUUCUUCCAUCCUCUUUCUCCAUCCCUCCAUCUCCAUCCAUCCAUCCGUCCAUCUCCAUCCUUCCAUCCCCAUCUCUCCAUCCCCA